This 389-nucleotide ribosomal RNA is filed under the name Acinetobacter baumannii. Its description in RNAcentral is "bacterial LSU rRNA". It matches the Rfam family "Bacterial large subunit ribosomal RNA", at positions 528 to 920 of the family's 2925-position model. The record is from RNAcentral. Lineage: Bacteria; Pseudomonadati; Pseudomonadota; Gammaproteobacteria; Moraxellales; Moraxellaceae.
UGGGAGGGGAGUGAAAUAGAUCCUGAAACCGCACGCAUACAAGCAGUGGGAGCACCGUCGUGGUGUGACUGAGUACCUUUUGUAUAAUGGGCCAGCGACUUAUAUUCUGUAGCAAGGUUAACCGUAUAGGGGAGCCGCAGGGAAACCGAGUCUUAACUGUGCUUUAAGUUGCAGGGUAUAGACCCGAAACCCGGUGAUCUAGCCAUGGGCAGGUUGAAGGUUGGGUAACACUAACUGGAGGACCGAACCGACUAAUGUUGAAAAAUUAGCGGAUGACUUGUGGCUGGGGGUGAAAGGCCAAUCAAACCGGGAGAUAGCUGGUUCUCCCCGAAAGCUAUUUAGGUAGCGCCUCGUGAACUCAUCUACGGGGGUAGAGCACUGUUUCGGCU